RNAcentral lists this ribosomal RNA (357 nucleotides) under uncultured bacterium. RNAcentral's name for it is "bacterial SSU rRNA". It matches the Rfam family "Bacterial small subunit ribosomal RNA", at positions 9 to 353 of the family's 1533-position model. The record is from RNAcentral.
GAGUUUUGAUCCUGGCUCAGGAUGAACGCUAGCUACAGGCUUAACACAUGCAAGUCGGAGGGGCGAGCAUGGUCUUUAGCUUGCUAAGGCCGAUGGCGACCGGCGCACGGGUGAGUAACGCGUAUCCAACCUGCCUUACACUCUUGGACAGCCUUCUGAAAGGGAGAUUAAUACAAGAUGUUAUCAUGAGUAAGCAUUUUCGCAUGAUUAAAGGUUUACCGGUGUAAGAUGGGGAUGCGUUCCAUUAGAUAGUAGGCGGGGUAACGGCCCACCUAGUCUUCGAUGGAUAGGGGUUCUGAGAGGAAGGUCCCCCACAUUGGAACUGAGACACGGUCCAAACUCCUACGGGAGGCAGCA